This is a long non-coding RNA of Priapulus caudatus, 234 nucleotides long. RefSeq lists it as uncharacterized. The transcript has 4 exons. NCBI's taxonomy places the organism in Eukaryota, Metazoa, Priapulida, Priapulimorpha, Priapulimorphida, Priapulidae. The record is from RefSeq and is a predicted model, not a curated record.
AAAGACUAGAGUUUUACCUAUGAUCGCAAUGAUUUUCUAAAUGGCUCAAUUUACAACAGAUUCAGACGUCAGCGCUGCCUUAGCAUAAUUACUGCACAAUGUUCAACGUCAUCAGCCACAAAAAAUGAAGUCCCUACUAUACAGGUGGAGAAAAUACCAGAUAAACUAUUUAAAACUAUAGCAGUAGAGGUCAGAGGGCAUGACCGUGCAGUACUGGACAGCUAUCAAAAAUUU